UUAGAUCCUGGCUCAGGAUGAACGCUGGCGGCGUGCCUAAUACAUGCAAGUCGAGCGAACAGAUAAGGAGCUUGCUCCUUUGACGUUAGCGGCGGACGGGUGAGUAACACGUGGAUAACCUACCUAUAAGACUGGGAUAACUUCGGGAAACCGGAGCUAAUACCGGAUAACAUAUUGAACCGCAUGGUUCAAUAGUGAAAGGCGGCUUUGCUGUCACUUAUAGAUGGAUCCGCGCCGUAUUAGCUAGUUGGUAAGGUAACGGCUUACCAAGGCAACGAUACGUAGCCGACCUGAGAGGGUGAUCGGCCACACUGGAACUGAGACACGGUCCAGACUCCUACGGGAGGCAGCAGUAGGGAAUCUUCCGCAAUGGGCGAAAGCCUGACGGAGCAACGCCGCGUGAGUGAUGAAGGUCUUCGGAUCGUAAAACUCUGUUAUCAGGGAAGAACAAAUGUGUAAGUAACUGUGCACAUCUUGACGGUACCUGAUCAGAAAGCCACGGCUAACUACGUGCCAGCAGCCGCGGUAAUACGUAGGUGGCAAGCGUUAUCCGGAAUUAUUGGGCGUAAAGCGCGCGUAGGCGGUUUUUUAAGUCUGAUGUGAAAGCCCACGGCUCAACCGUGGAGGGUCAUUGGAAACUGGAAAACUUGAGUGCAGAAGAGGAAAGUGGAAUUCCAUGUGUAGCGGUGAAAUGCGCAGAGAUAUGGAGGAACACCAGUGGCGAAGGCGACUUUCGUCUGUAACGACGCUAUGUGCGAAAGCGGGUCACU
Molecule: ribosomal RNA, 770 nt
Filed under: Staphylococcus warneri
Lineage: Bacteria; Bacillati; Bacillota; Bacilli; Caryophanales; Staphylococcaceae
Description: bacterial SSU rRNA
Rfam family: Bacterial small subunit ribosomal RNA
Source: RNAcentral